CGUAGGCGCAAGCGUUGUCCGGAAUUAUUGGGCGUAAAGAGCUCGUAGGCGGUUUGUCGCGUCUGCUGUGAAAACUACAAGGCUCAACCUUGGGGCUUGCAGUGGGUACGGGCAGACUAGAGUGCGGUAGGGGUGACUGGAAUUCCUGGUGUAGCGGUGGAAUGCGCAGAUAUCAGGAGGAACACCGAUGGCGAAGGCAGGUCACUGGGCCGCAACUGACGCUGAGGAGCGAAAGCAUGGGGAGCGAACAGGAUU
RNAcentral lists this ribosomal RNA (255 nucleotides) under uncultured bacterium. Its description in RNAcentral is "partial 16S ribosomal RNA". It matches the Rfam family "Bacterial small subunit ribosomal RNA", at positions 526 to 779 of the family's 1533-position model. The record is from RNAcentral.